UUCCCGGAUAUGACUCCUCAUCGCAUGGUGGGGGGUGAGAAAGCUUUUGUGGUUUUGGAUGGACUCGCGGCCUAUCAGCUUGUUGGUGAGGUAAUGGCUCACCAAGGCGACGACGGGUAGCCGGCCUGAGAGGGUGACCGGCCACACUGGGACUGAGACACGGCCCAGACUCCUACGGGAGGCAGCAGUGGGGAAUAUUGCACAAUGGGCGGAAGCCUGAUGCAGCGACGCCGCGUGAGGGAUGACGGCCUUCGGGUUGUAAACCUCUUUCAGUAGGGAAGAAGCGAAAGUGACGGUACCUGCAGAAGAAGCGCCGGCUAACUACGUGCCAGCAGCCGCGGUAAUACGUAGGGCGCAAGCGUUAUCCGGAAUUAUUGGGCGUAAAGAGCUCGUAGGCGGUUUGUCGCGUCUGCCGUGAAAGUCCGGGGCUCAACUCCGGAUCUGCGGUGGGUACGGGCAGACUAGAGUGAUGUAGGGGAGACUGGAAUUCCUGGUGUAGCGGUGAAAUGCGCAGAUAUCAGGAGGAACACCGAUGGCGAAGGCAGGUCUCUGGGCAUUAACUGACGCUGAGGAGCGAAAGCAUGGGGAGCGAACAGGAUUAGAUACCCUGGUAGUCCAUGCCGUAACGUUGGGCACUAGGUGUGGGGGACAUUCCACGUUUUCCGCGCCGUAGCUAACGCAU
This 682-nucleotide ribosomal RNA is filed under the name Arthrobacter sp. 12HD5. Its description in RNAcentral is "bacterial SSU rRNA". It matches the Rfam family "Bacterial small subunit ribosomal RNA", at positions 166 to 860 of the family's 1533-position model. The record is from RNAcentral. Lineage: Bacteria; Bacillati; Actinomycetota; Actinomycetes; Micrococcales; Micrococcaceae.